RNAcentral lists this ribosomal RNA (292 nucleotides) under uncultured bacterium. Its description in RNAcentral is "partial 16S ribosomal RNA". The record is from RNAcentral.
GGACUACUCGGGUUUCUAAUCCUGUUUGCUCCCCACGCUUUCGAGUCUCAGCGUCAGUAUUCGUCCAGUUGGCCGCCUUCGCCACCGGUGUUCCUCUCGAUAUCUACGAAUUUCACCUCUACACCGAGAAUUCCACCAACCUCUCCGAUACUCUAGCCUGGCAGUUUCGAGUGCACUUCCCGGGUUGAGCCCGGGGCUUUCACACCCGACUUUUCAGACCGCCUACACUCGCUUUACGCCCAGUAAUUCCGAACAACGUUUGCACCCUCUGUCUUACCGCGGCGGCUGGCAC